Molecule: long non-coding RNA, 953 nt
Filed under: Vitis vinifera (wine grape)
Lineage: Eukaryota; Viridiplantae; Streptophyta; Magnoliopsida; Vitales; Vitaceae
Description: long non-coding RNA (VVIN_LNC001721)
Source: RNAcentral
UUCUAGGUCCCAUGCUCGGCUCACAAACUCAGUUGAGAAGCCGGUGAAGAUACCAUUGGAGCCUGUGAGAAAGAAGUCAGUGAAUUCACCAGCUUUGUGGGCCUUUGAGGUAUCACCCAAGAAUAAAACUUCUAGGUCAGUAUCCUCUUUGUUGUACCACCAUGUAACAACACCAAAGGGAAGAGCAAGUGCAUCGCCCUUCUUAAUAGGGACUACCUUCUCCUCUGAUUCAGGAAGAACAAUUCCAGCAACACCAUUUCCUGGAGAAAGCAAGAACCACAGCCAAAUAAGUAAAUUUGACCAAAGACCAAUAUCAACUGUGUAGGAAAUUAGGGUUUGUAGUUAUGAAUUAUGCAAUUACACUCGGAAUCUCACCCCAUUAAUCAAAUCACAUGCCACACACCUCUCAAACUCUAAUGAACUCACAAGAAGUUAGACCAGCAUUUCAUUAUGGGGAUUCAAAUUAGCAGAAAACAAAAACUGUUGGGCAUAUGAUCAACAUUCUUCAUAGAUAAACAAGAAAUCAAUUGAUCAACCCAAUUUUGGGAGGAAGAACAAUAAGAAAACAUCGUCCAUAACUAAAGCCAACCAAAGAUGAAUAAUAAAACAUUUAAAGGGUCACCUAUUCAAUCAAACUGAAGAUCAUACUGAUAAUGAUCAGUUUCCGAACAAAUAAACUAACAAUACAAAUAUAACCCAUCUAAUUUUUUUUUAACAUACCCAUGAAUCCAACCACAGACUAUGAAAAAAAAAAUCCCACCCAAUAUUCAAAGAGAAAACCAAAAAUACCUUGUAAAACAUAAGCGACCUUUGAGGAAUCAGAGUAGCUAGGAAGAGCAAACCCAUGUUGGUGGAGAAUGAUCUUGGCUGCGCCGAUGUUGCCUUCACCAAGCAUGGGAAGCUCCGAUGGGGACCACGCCAAGUAUGACCCCCCAUUGCUCCCGUACGCCUCC